Molecule: ribosomal RNA, 273 nt
Filed under: uncultured bacterium
Lineage: Bacteria
Description: partial 16S ribosomal RNA
Rfam family: Bacterial small subunit ribosomal RNA
Source: RNAcentral
UACGGAGGGUGCAAGCGUUAUUCGGAAUCACUGGGCGUAAAGGACGCGUAGGCGGGUUGGCAAGUCAGAUGUGAAAUCCUACAGCUUAACUGUAGAACUGCAUUUGAAACUGCUAACCUAGAGUAUGGGAGGGGGAGAUGGAAUUAGUGGUGUAGGGGUAAAAUCCGUAGAUAUCACUAGGAAUACCGAAAGCGAAGGCGAUCUCCUGGAACAUAACUGACGCUAAGGCGUGAAAGCGUGGGGAGCAAACAGGAUUAGAAACCCUUGUAGUCC